This 74-nucleotide transfer RNA is filed under the name Pseudomonadales bacterium. Its description in RNAcentral is "tRNA-Ile". It matches the Rfam family "tRNA". Rfam says of the family: Transfer RNA (tRNA) molecules are approximately 80 nucleotides in length. Their secondary structure includes four short double-helical elements and three loops (D, anti-codon, and T loops). Lineage: Bacteria; Pseudomonadati; Pseudomonadota; Gammaproteobacteria; Pseudomonadales. The record is from RNAcentral.
GCACUCUUAGCUCAGUUGGUUAGAGCAAUUCACUCAUAAUGAAAAGGUCACAGGUUCAAGUCCUGUAGGGUGCA